RNAcentral lists this ribosomal RNA (274 nucleotides) under uncultured bacterium. RNAcentral's name for it is "partial 16S ribosomal RNA". It matches the Rfam family "Bacterial small subunit ribosomal RNA", at positions 523 to 796 of the family's 1533-position model. The record is from RNAcentral.
AUACGGAGGGUGCAAGCGUUACUCGGAAUCACUGGGCGUAAAGGACGCGUAGGCGGGAUGCCAAGUCUGAUGUGAAAUCCUACAGCUCAACUGUAGAACUGCAUUGGAAACUGGUAACCUAGAGUAUGGGAGGGGGAGAUGGAAUUAGUGGUGUAGGGGUAAAAUCCGUAGAUAUCACUAGGAAUACCUAAAGCGAAGGCGAUCUCCUGGAACAAUACUGACGCUAAGGCGUGAAAGCGUGGGGAGCAAACGGGAUUAGAAACCCCAGUAGUCC